GGAGCCGCGGGCGGGGGAGGCUGCCACGUUUUCCGAGCCGGGGGUCCUCGGCCCCGAGGGCGAGGGCGACAGGUCCACGUUGUGGUAGCGCGCGCGGCAGGGUCAGCGGGGGGCGCCCCCCCGAGGGCGGAGGUCUGCGGCGCUGGGCGUGCUGGGAUCACGGAAACGGGUCGCCGAGCGCCUCCGGGGGGAGGCGGAGCCGUCACGCCAGCUCGGGAAACGCCGCGGCCCGCCCAGGGAGCCCACCGACCCCGAGGUCGCAAACCCGAGUCCGCCGGGGUUGCUCAUCCUGGGCACCGAUGACGUGGGUGGGCGGGCCCCGGCCGCAGGCGCCGUCCUGCGCAUUUUAGGGUACUCCGCAUCCUGGGGCUCUACCCGUUCAACGCCGGUGGCGCUCUCCGGUCAGGUCAGCCAGAAAUGUCUAGUCAUCGCCAGACGUCCCCUGGCCGGCAGGGCGGCCCCGGUGGAGAACCCUGCUGGCGCGGAGGGUGCUGAGAAACGGAAACCCUCAUUCUCUGAACAAAGCAUUUCACAAGAGAGGAAACUGAGGCCCAAGGUCACCCAGAGUUCUAGGUCAAACCCAGAAUUGUUCAAUGUCAAGUCUAAGUGGAGUCUCCUUCCCCACCCCCACCUCGCUGCCUGGAAGCCCCGAUACUGUUAUGGGGCUAGAAGGCAGGCUGAGUGGGUUAUUAGCCGCAGCCUCCCGAGAGAGAACUUUUUGUUGUUGUUGUUACAGGAAGACCUAGAUUUAAAACAGGAGAGAGGCAGCUGAUGAGAACCACACGCGCGCCUCGGAUCUGUGCUACACCUGUUAGUCUUGCAUUUGUCAUGCUUCUGGGAAGCAUUUUUAUUUGCAAAAACGGCUGUUUCUGCACGUGGUUGUGGCUGCUUCCUUCUGCACAUGUGAAAAGUUUUACAUCACACUUGUAGAAGAAAAUAAACACGGGCAAAAUACUUCCUUUAAUUUCCUCUCCCUCGUAGAAAUGAGGUGAUUUGUGUACAUGGUCCAGGUUGGAAACCAGCCCAUUUGGAGAUACUCUUUAUCUCACUUAAGAUAAGCAAAAUCAACAAGCUCUUCCCCCAAGCAUAUUCUGGUUCUGCCUUUCUUUUAAUUUCUAACUCAGACGUACAAGAUCUUAUUUUUUUUUAAUCAAGGGUCACAUAGAAGCAAUUUGUUCUGCAUGGGUCAUGUUAUUUAAGAAAAAUGUGGAAAGCACUCAACUUACCUGCUUUUUUUAAACAUUAAGAUGACUGAGUUCUGCAUGGCCAGCUCUAAACACACACCAAGACAUAGGUAUACAGUUCAGCUCCACAGAUGUGGCAUAUAGAGGGGCUCCAUAAAUAUUUAACAAAUGAAUGCAAUAUUAAAUACUGUACACAUUAGGAUGCACAGACACACAUAUAUGUAUAUAGUUUUAUUCCACAUUGAACAUAGAUGUAGUGGUUAAAAAUCAGAUCACCACUCAAUGAGAGUCUUGAAAAUGUUAGCUUCUCGGGGACCCCUGGGUGGCUCAGCAGUUUAGCAUCUGCCUUCGGCCCAGGGCGUGAUCCUGGAGUCCUGCGAUGGAGUCCUGCAUCGGGCUACCUGCAUGGAGCCUGCUUCUCCCUCUGCCUAUGUCUCUGCCUCUCUUUCCCUAUCUCUCAUGAAUAAACAAAAUCUUUUAAAAAAGAAACUGUUAGCUUCUCUUAGGUCCAGGACAGAUACUGCAGUUCACCUAGCAAGACUUCCUGCUUCAAGGAAGAGAUACUUGAAAUGACUUCUGUUACACAAAGGUGGGGCUAGGGACGCCUGCCUUCAGCCCAGGGUGUGAUCCUGCGGUCCCAGGAUCGGUCCCAGGAUCAAAUCCCAUAUCGGGCUCCCUGCAUGGAGCCUGCUUCUCCUCCCUCUGCCUGUGUCUCUGCCUCUUUCUCUCUGUCUCUCUCAUGAAUAAAAUCUUAAAAAAAAAAAAAAAAAAAAGGUGGGGCUCAAGGUAAAUCCUCUUGUAAUGGUUCUUCCAUUACAACAGUGUGGUCCCAAGAACAUCUAUCCUGCCCCCAUUCUGAGAAGACAAGAUAUUUUGUGCUUGUGAUGCCCCUGAAAAGGAGCAUCACACCUGCUAGUGAGGUGGCCCACAAAAAGGUAAGAGGCUCUGAGUCCAUGACUUGGCUUUUGCCAUGGGAAGUGGCAGGAAGGUGGUUUUAGGAGCCUGGGUGCAGAGCAUCCUUAGCCAAGCUUGGCAGUGAGGGAGCCAGCUCCUUCUCCCUCAAUGAACUUCAGUGGCUCAAGCCAGAUGGACAGGCAAGGACAUCAAAGAAGGAAGCUGUGAGCAGGUCAGCUCCCACAACUGCUCAGGACCAGUCUUCAACAGCGACACCACAUGGUGGCAGGGACUCGCCAGGUGGACUCAUUCAUUCAGAAAGGAAAGGCAACUGUGCCUCCUUAGACACCUACACCCCCAGAAGUUGGGCAAUUCAAAGGCGAGGUGAUUGGACUUAUCCCAAUAAAGUAUGUGAGGGCUUUGAUGAUUAAUAGGAAAAAUGAAUACGAGCAAACCACUACCCCACUUUGACCAAUUUGUUUACUCUGAAUUUAACAUCUGGUGGGAAAUUUUUGAAAACACUCAUAUAUUAACUCAUUCAACCUUUUCGAUGAUCUCAGAAGUACCAAGAGAUGGGCUUCAGAGUCCUGCUUGGCUUUGCAGCAAGUCCUAUUUUUUCUAAAAGUGAAAAAAAUUUCAAUUGGUUUUGAAUAGUCCCCAUAUCACUGCUUUUAGGAAUGGCUCCAAAGACAGACCAGAGAACUUCAAAUAACUUUACUGUGUCUUCAAGUAGCGGGAUAGGACACAAAGGCAUAUUAAGAGGCACAAAGCCUGCUCCUGAGAAGCCAAGCACUGGAAAUAGGUUGGGGGCCCAGUAUAUUGUUUGAGCAGGACCGGAACACCAGAGGACAAAGCCACUCUGGAGACAGCAGGACUAAGAAAGAUGUUUAACAGCAUUUUGACUGACAUCAUUUCCAUAUGUUCAUAUCCUUUGCCCCAGUAUUUCACAACUUCUAGAAAUGUAUCCAAAGCAAGCAAUCAGAUCCAGACAAAUGUGUGCAUACGGGCAAGUUGACAGCGGCAUCAUUUACAAGGGCAAACGACUGGAAACAACCCAAGUGUUCAGUAAAAGGUGAGGAUGUAAAUAAAUUAGGGGUCGACUCACAAACAGGAAGGUUAUGGACAGGAAGGGACCACAGGAUUCUGUAAUUCCACCUGGGUAGUGGUCUUAUGGGUGUAUGCAACAUGUAGAAAUUUCACAAAGCUGGACAUUAUACUUCAAAAAUACGUAAAUAAAAGAUUUAGACAGCCAGAUGACAGAUAAUCUCAGGCACUGAAAUCAGUAUUGAACAACAUGGAAUGCUCCCAACUUCAUAUUACAUGUUAAAAUGCAGUAUAUAAUCCAUAUAUACAUUACAAUCUUAAUUUUGGUUUUAUUAAAUCUAUACUUCAUGCACCCAAUGCACAGAAAAAAUACUGGAAGGAAAGAAGCCAAAAUUUUUAUAGUAGUUAUCUCUGACAGGCAGGAUAACAGGUGAUCUUUUUUCUGAUACUUGUCCCUGAAGUUUCGCAUUUUCUAGAAUGAACAUGGAGUGCCUCCUCCUCACCUCAUCCAGUGCUUGGGUUAUUCUGACCUCUAGUAGCCUUUAGUUAUCAUCUUCUGAUUUGGAUACUGCUAAUCUGAAGCGUGCCCAUAAUCUCCAAAAUCCUGAACAUGGAUUUGCCUAUGAUGGAUGUCCAUCUAAAUCCUAAUAGACUAUGUUUUCCCUACUGCCCUGGUUUUGUAUUAUUCUUAGUAAAAAAGAAAAUAACAUUGAGUACCUACCAUGUGUCAGGUUGCACACUGAGGGCUUUACCUGACGACCAAGAUGAACCCCACUGGGCAGUCAGGCCCUUGUGUCAGCCUCUCCCCUUGACUCUGGGGGAAGGGGCCUACAAUUUGCUUUAGAGGAUGCAGGAGAACCAUGCCCUACCUGGUCCAGGUUGAAGCUUUAAGAAGGCCUAGCAGUUAACACCCAACCCAGCAAAUCCACCCCUAUCAAUCUCGCCAAGAAAACUGAAAACCUACACUCAUAGAUUUGUACAGGUUUAAGUCCCCAGCAGGACUAUUGAUAGGUGCAAAGUACAAACACCAAAUGUCCAUCAACUGGUGAACAGAUUGAUGAAAUGUAUGUCCAUAAGCUGGAAUAUUAGCCAUAAAAAGGCACGAGAAGAAAUGAAAAAGAGGCAGCAGCAGCAGGGUGGCAUCCACCUUUGCAGAUCUGGGAACACGGAGCUGCCACGUCAGAAUAUAGGGACUCAACCAGUGGUAGUGGCCCAAGGCCUCUGUGAAGAACAAGGUUCCCAGUGAGAGACAACACUGACGCCCACAUGCCUAAUCCUAGCAGGCUGGGACACCCUAGGCGAGGUGCCAGGCGUGUGAUCUGAGAAGCCCUCGGAGCCCAGAGCCAGCCCCACUGUGCCCCAUCCUAUUUCCUGCCCACAGAACUGUGACUCAAUAAUAGAGGGUUUAAGCCACUGAGUACUGGGGUCAUUUGUUACUCAGUGCUAGCUAACAGAGACACAGUUGCUAAUGGAAUCCUCAAGUGACACACAAGGAAGGAAGACUCUGAGGUCAGCAGUGAAGAGACACACAGUCAUGACCCCUUCACCCCAAAUGGUGCAGCUGGGAUUUCAGGCUGGAUCUUUCUAAUGCCAAACCAUGCCCUCUGGCCCUCAUGGCUCCUUAACUCCCAGGCACCUCCCGCCUGUUUAUCUUUGGCCACGUGUCUCCUGUUUCUGUCCUCUCCUGAACCUGUGCCCUGUCCCAAUCUUGCCUGCUGACAGUUCUCUCCUCCGAUCUGCAGCACACACAUGUCCAGAUGCUCUGAUGCUGACAUCUUUGUGUGUGUUUCUUCUUUCCUGACUACAAGGGUAACAGAUGUUUGGUGCAGACAAUCAGUCAAGUACAACAAAGCAUAAGAUUCAAAACCCACCGCCUGAUAGCCUCCAAAAUGAUUCCUCAGCGUUUCCCAGAGGGUAAUUCAAAACAAC
Canis lupus familiaris (dog) is the source of this 5051-nucleotide long non-coding RNA. RefSeq lists it as uncharacterized. The record is from RefSeq and is a predicted model, not a curated record. The transcript has 3 exons. Lineage: Eukaryota; Metazoa; Chordata; Mammalia; Carnivora; Canidae.